Molecule: non-coding RNA, 742 nt
Organism: Neolamprologus brichardi
Lineage: Eukaryota; Metazoa; Chordata; Actinopteri; Cichliformes; Cichlidae
Source: RefSeq, a predicted model, not a curated record
AAGUUACGGACUUUUAUUUACAGCUGCCAACAUAGAUGAGGUCUUGCUCCACACCCUCAGUAGGGACGAUUUAAGGGACCUGCUUCCAGGGCCUGAAAAUUUUAUGAGGAGGAAACAGUUGUGGGCUCAAGUUUACAAAGAGGCAAGUUUUGCCGCUUUUGAUUUCAAAACACCUAGCACAAGACAUUUUGUUUAGGACUCCUGUAAUAUAACUAUUUUUGUUUUCUUAUUUAGGAUGAAACUAAAGGCGUCUCAUCGAUAUCUCACCAUGUGACCAGGGAGAAGAUUAUGAUGCAGAUUCAAGUGGUGGAUCAAACAUGCUUUUGCCACCAAGGAGCAGUUCUGGUGACAACAGUUCCCUGUUCAGGACACUACUAACUUUCUUCCCAUCAUGAGCUGUACCACCCAAGAAGAUGGGACAUGCCAGUGAAGCACUGAUUCAUGUCCUUCAGAAGAUCCAGCGUCAGCCCCGUUCUGCUCUUUGAAGGGUCCCGCUGUCUUAUUGCAGUUGGAACCACUCUCAUCACCACAUUUGACCACAGAUGACCUUGGAGAAGGUUUGCUGUAUCUUAUGGCAUACUACUACACCCUGCAUCUCACCUAUCCUAAAUGUGUGUCAACGCUUCUGUCUGUCAUUCAGACUGAAGUGUUAAAGGACAAAAUCCAUGAGCAAGACACCACAGGCUCAUACAAAAAAGUCAUGGCAGGCUGUAGGAAUUUUUAUUGAACGUAGAGCUGUUUG